Molecule: unclassified non-coding RNA, 228 nt
Filed under: Bombus terrestris (buff-tailed bumblebee)
Lineage: Eukaryota; Metazoa; Arthropoda; Insecta; Hymenoptera; Apidae
Description: misc RNA ENSBTSG00005022360.1
Source: RNAcentral
ACGUAUAAAAAAAAAAAAAAAAAAAAAAAAAAAAAAAAAAAAAAAAAAAAAAAAAAAAAAAAAAAAAAGGAUUUCUCCACGAAAAAAAAAAAAAAAAAAAAAAAAAAAAAAAAAAAAAAAAAAAAAAAAAAAAAAAAAAAAAAAAAAAAAAAAAGGAUUUCUCCACGAAAAAAAAAAAAAAAAAAAAAAAAAAAAAAAAAAAAAAAAAAAAAAAAAAAAAAAAAAAGG